This 253-nucleotide ribosomal RNA is filed under the name uncultured bacterium. RNAcentral describes it as "partial 16S ribosomal RNA". It matches the Rfam family "Bacterial small subunit ribosomal RNA", at positions 524 to 776 of the family's 1533-position model. The record is from RNAcentral.
UACAGAGGGUGCAAGCGUUAAUCGGAAUUACUGGGCGUAAAGGGUGCGUAGGUGGUUUGAUAAGUUAGAUGUGAAAGUCCUGGGCUCAACCUGGGGACUGCGUCUGAUACUGUCAGGCUAGAGUACUGUAGAGGAAGGUGGAAUUUCCGGAGUAGCGGUGAAAUGCGUAGAUAUCGGAAGGAACAUCGGUGGCGAAAGCGGCCUUCUGGACAGAAACUGACACUGAGAGACGAAAGCUAGGGGAGCAAAUGGG